Vicia villosa (hairy vetch) is the source of this 922-nucleotide long non-coding RNA. RefSeq lists it as uncharacterized. Lineage: Eukaryota; Viridiplantae; Streptophyta; Magnoliopsida; Fabales; Fabaceae. The transcript has 4 exons. The record is from RefSeq and is a predicted model, not a curated record.
UCUCUCUACCGAACAACAACAACACACUUUCCUCUCGGUUUCUCUCCUCCAUGAUAAUCACCAUCAAUUUUCGUUCUCAUCUUCAUUUCUCUCGCGAAUGACACAACAACAAUGGUCUCCUCGCGUGAAAACGGUGACAACAAUGAUUCUCUCUCGGUUGUUUUUCUCUGCCCACGGUUGAAGACAACAACUUAGCUUCUCUUAAUCACUCUCCCUCUCACUGAAACGAAGACAACAACAAAAAACCUCCCUCUCGGUUUACGGCGGCCAUGGGAGGAAAAUCAGAAGAAAUCCAGUUUCAGACAAAUCAUAGGUAUAACAAUUAACAGCAAAAAUAUUGAGUGUGAGGUAUGAAGUAUACUUACCUUCGGCGAGGAGAUGUUCGCCGGAUUUUGAAUUUGAGCAUAACUUAUUGCCGGCUGCCGCGUUGAAGAUGAUGUGGGGCUGCCACCGAAAGUCAGAGGAUCUAUUUUGAUGAAGAUGAUGCAACAAAACCUUUUUUUGGAUAUUAGGGAGACUUGAAGAUGCAACUUCAAGUUGUUGCUCUCCACUAAGGUAUGAACUACUUCUUCACCCCUUUUCCAACUAUGGAACUAAGAAACUUUGAAAAUUAUGAGAGAAAAGGGAGGAGUGAAAAAAGCAAGUAGUUAAGGUUGCUUUGGUGUGAUUUGCAAUGAAGAGAACACCUCUAUUUAUAGGAAAAGCUUAGGAUGUGUUUGGCAUAAAAAUUAACUUGAUUGGCAAGAUUGUAAUCAUUGAGAAAAUAAGAAUAAGAAUAAGAAUAUUCUCCAUGUCAUUAUGCAAAGAUAUUUCUUAUGAUAUGAAUCAUGCAAGUGGAAGAAAAAUCUCUCUUUGAUUCCUUUUUGUCUUGAAUUAUCUCUUCUUUUUGAAUUAUUUCUUUUAUUGGACUUUUUGCUAAUCU